CCUACGGGAGGCAGCAGUAGGGAAUCUUCCGCAAUGGACGAAAGUCUGACGGAGCAACGCCGCGUGAGUGAUGAAGGCUUUCGGGUCGUAAAACUCUGUUGUUAGGGAAGAACAAGUGCUAGUUGAAUAAGCUGGCACCUUUGAAACG
This 148-nucleotide ribosomal RNA is filed under the name sludge granule bacterium 6. RNAcentral describes it as "partial 16S ribosomal RNA". It matches the Rfam family "Bacterial small subunit ribosomal RNA", at positions 338 to 488 of the family's 1533-position model. The record is from RNAcentral.